AGCUGCCAAGGUGCACUGCAGUGUUUUACAAGGAAGUAUGGAGAAAUGGAACCAUGUGAUUUGCAAGCUCCCUGAGGCUAAAACCUCAGCUGCUGCAGAAGAAGAGUCUUUUCCCAUCGACUCAAGGCAAGUUGAAACUGGAACCCUGAUAACAACAGCCUCUCCAAGUCUGCACUUCAUACUUGUUCUGUGUGGAGAGGAAUAGCCAUAACUGGAUAAUAUCUUGAGCUCCUGUGAUAAGAGCACAGAGACAUCAAGUGGCUAUUUGAACCAUGCACCAGCAAGAGGGCAGUCCUGACUGGUUUAAACCUUCUUGGUUUCUUUGCAAAACAGAUUUAUCUGCUAUAUAAAAGAAAAUAUUGGCACUUUGCUAGAUCUUCCGAGACAAAGGGCAUCACUUCCUCAUUCUGCAGUUAAGAAGGUAUGGGAUUUAGUGCAUCACUUUUUCAUAGCACUUGUGCCAAUAAUCCCAUUAUACACCACAGCUGCAGAAAAGCAGUUCUGCAGCGAUAGUUAUGAUUCAGCCACAAGCCACAGGUGCAAUAAAACUGCCAGCAGUCUGACUGUAGAAGAGCUGUUUCUAUGAACAUCUUUGAGAGUACAUUAAAAUCUGCUUUUCUCCUGAUGUGGAAAAUUUGAGAGGAUGUGCAGAUGGGACCUUUUCACAGCUGCAUGUAGGCACAGCACUCUGCGUUAGCAGUCUAGUGCCUGUGCAGUGUGCAGAACAGCUCCUGUGUCCUAGGGCAGGGCACAGCUGCAGUUGUGGUAUCUCCUGUGGGCUGUGACUGUGCCUGGCUGACAUGCCCUGUGGCAGGGACCCAAGGAGUCCAGCAUACUGGCUGAGGAAGGACAUUGGUGCUUAGAAGGCUGUGCAGAUGCAUCUCCUCAUACAUGGAAGUCUGUGAACCUCUGUUAAGCCUUUUCCACUUGGCUGAGUGGAGAAUGCAAACAUCUCACGCUCCAAAAUGCUAGUUUGGUGACAAAACCAAUGAAAGCAGGAAGACCUUGCUUUGCUCUUUUACUUCCUCAGUAUUCAUCCAGUUGCAAGUGUAUUUUCACUAUUCACUUGUUCUGCUGCAGUAUCACCUUGAUGAUCUCUGAAGCUGACUGAACUGGAUUGCUUGUGCCUUGUGCAUGGGAAGCCUUACAAAUUGUCACCUGGCUUUGAAACUGAAGGAGUAACAAAUUUAUGAAAACUA
Pogoniulus pusillus (Red-fronted tinkerbird) is the source of this 1199-nucleotide long non-coding RNA. RefSeq lists it as uncharacterized. Lineage: Eukaryota; Metazoa; Chordata; Aves; Piciformes; Lybiidae. The record is from RefSeq and is a predicted model, not a curated record. The transcript has 4 exons.